UACAGAGGGUGCGAACGUUGUUCGGAAUUACUGGGCGUAAAGGGUUCGUAGGUGGCUUGCUAAGUCAGACGUGAAAUCCCUCAGCUUAACUGGGGAACUGCGUCUGAGACUGGCAAGCUUGAGUGCAGGAGAGGAAUGCGGAAUUCCAGGUGUAGCGGUGAAAUGCGUAGAUAUCUGGAGGAACACCGGUGGCGAAGGCGGCGUUCUGGACUGCAACUGACACUGAGGAACGAAAGCCAGGGGAGCAAACGGG
This 253-nucleotide ribosomal RNA is filed under the name uncultured bacterium. RNAcentral describes it as "partial 16S ribosomal RNA". It matches the Rfam family "Bacterial small subunit ribosomal RNA", at positions 524 to 776 of the family's 1533-position model. The record is from RNAcentral.